Molecule: ribosomal RNA, 372 nt
Filed under: uncultured bacterium
Lineage: Bacteria
Description: bacterial SSU rRNA
Rfam family: Bacterial small subunit ribosomal RNA
Source: RNAcentral
UACGGAGGGUGCAAGCGUUAUCCGGAAUCACUGGGUUUAAAGGGUGCGUAGGCGGAUAUUUAAGUCAGUGGUGAAAUCUUGUCGCUUAACGAUAAAAUUGCCAUUGAUACUGAAUGUCUUGAAUUGGGUUGAGGUUAGCGGAAUGUGACAUGUAGCGGUGAAAUGCAUAGAUAUGUCAUGGAACACCAAUUGCGAAGGCAGCUAGCUGGGCCUUGAUUGACGCUGAGGCACGAAAGCGUGGGUAGCGAACAGGAUUAGAUACCCUGGUAGUCCACGCCCUAAACGAUGCUAACUCGAUGUUUGGACGUAAGUUUGAGCAUCCAAGGGAAACCGAUAAGUUAGCCACCUGGGGAGUACGACCGCAAGGUUGAA